This 484-nucleotide ribosomal RNA is filed under the name uncultured bacterium. Its description in RNAcentral is "partial 16S ribosomal RNA". It matches the Rfam family "Bacterial small subunit ribosomal RNA", at positions 30 to 507 of the family's 1533-position model. The record is from RNAcentral.
AUUGAGCGCUGGCGGCAGGCCUAACACAUGCAAGUCGAGCGGAUGAAGGGAGCUUGCUCCUGGAUUCAGCGGCGGACGGGUGAGUAAUGCCUAGGAAUCUGCCUGGUAGUGGGGGAUAACGUCCGGAAACGGGCGCUAAUACCGCAUACGUCCUGAGGGAGAAAGUGGGGGAUCUUCGGACCUCACGCUAUCAGAUGAGCCUAGGUCGGAUUAGCUAGUUGGUGGGGUAAAGGCCUACCAAGGCGACGAUCCGUAACUGGUCUGAGAGGAUGAUCAGUCACACUGGAACUGAGACACGGUCCAGACUCCUACGGGAGGCAGCAGUGGGGAAUAUUGGACAAUGGGCGAAAGCCUGAUCCAGCCAUGCCGCGUGUGUGAAGAAGGUCUUCGGAUUGUAAAGCACUUUAAGUUGGGAGGAAGGGCAGUAAGUUAACACCUUGCUGUUUUGACGUUACCAACAGAAUAAGCACCGGCUAACUUCGUG